This is an RNA transcript of Triticum aestivum (bread wheat), 3601 nucleotides long. RefSeq lists it as uncharacterized. NCBI's taxonomy places the organism in Eukaryota, Viridiplantae, Streptophyta, Magnoliopsida, Poales, Poaceae. The transcript has 2 exons. The record is from RefSeq and is a predicted model, not a curated record.
UCGUCGAUACCACAGGCGAUCGGUCGAUCGAAGUCUCUCUCCACACCGAUUUUUUUCUCUCCUCCCACCUUUUUUUCAUGUUGGUCGUCCGCCCCUCUCCCACGGUCUCACCUCCCCUCGCACGAGCGAUCGAAUCGAACCCUAGAUGGCCCCCCGCCGCCGACGGCGAUCCCACUGCCUCCGUCUCCUCCGCCUCCACCCCCUCCCCUUCCCCUACACCCUGCUCCUAUCCCUAAGAUCGAGUUGCUACGCUUCCCAAUUGCUCCGCCGGCCAUGGCCUCCCACCUCCGCCUCCACCAUCACCAGCACCUCCACCGCCUCCACCUCCCGUAGUCCCGUCUCCGGCGUCCUCUCUGCAUCCCCGCGUUCUCUACUCCGCCACGGCCCCCGACGGGGGUUGGUGGCGCAGAGAUGUACUCAGACGGUGAGGGUGAGGUGGACACAGGGACUCUGAUGGGGGCCCCUCGUGGGUGAGGGUGAUGCUGGUGGAGCGGGAGGCCUCGUCGACGAUCUCGAUUCGUCCACUCCAGCUGCUACAUCUCCUCACCAUGUUGCUCGCUGAAUCGGCUCCCUCAUGGAACCAAGUCGAGGAUGUGCUACCUAUGGUUGUCAUCAUGGUCCGUAGUACCGGACUGCAGCAUGUUCUACGGCUGAUGCAUGGGCGUGUGGCUGCCCCCGCACGAGAGCUGCUGGAUGGAGCUCCUCAACGGUGCGACGAGGAGGGGAGAGGUGGAGGGAGCAGACGACGGCCGUCGUCUGCGCGGCCGACACUGACACCAGUGCAGGAGAUGACUUUGUCGUAGAUGACGUGCGAAAAGGGGAUGGUGUCCACAUUGAAUCACAGAGAGUUCAUGAGGAUUUCUUGCUAGCAUCUAGAGUUGGAUGCCCUCAGGAAGACUACCGUGAGUCAAUUUUCAUGACUGGUUUGCUCAUUUCCUAACUGCACAAUAUGGCAUAUUGCUUCUUGAUUCAGCACUUACUGCUACGUAGUAAUAAGAGGACAUAUCGGACUUUGUUUCUCGAAUUGACACUCAAUAGUAGAAGGGGUUCAUGCCUCCAAUAGUUGAUCACAAAACUGCCGUAUCAUAUGGCUUCUAGCUUAUAUCUUAUAGAGCAAGUGUGCAGCCUUUAUAUUUUCCCCCCUCUAAUUUCUAUUUUCUAGCUUUGAUUAGCUUAAAACAGGCUGAUUCUGGUAUAUAUUCAUUGGCGCAAAAACUAGAAGCUCAAUGAUAUUUUUUCUUACCACACAUAUGAAGGAUUGUGCAGACACAACUUGCAGCGUUGGAAUCAACAUCUGGUUGGUUCACAACUUUGUCAAGGAUUUGAGAACAUCGCAUGGACAUUUAGAUAUAUAUUUUUUAGCAUUUUUCAAGGUCUUGACUUAAUUUCUUUUACACUGUAAAAUAAUAGAAACAAAAAUAGGUUGUACAAUGGUAGUAUGGGUUAUGUACUCAAGUUUAUUGAAAUCAAAAGAAAAGCAGGAAAGGAGAUCCCAAGUUCAAGGCAUAUGCAGCUCCAUCCACCGAGGAAAAUAUAUACGCGGGAAAAAUUAUGUGUUCUGUUCUGCUCGAUGACAUACAAGAUUCAGUAAUGACUCCAUGAUCUCAAACAUGCCACUAGGACCACCCAGACUAAUUGAAAUUGAUUUGCUCCCUCAAUGGAGUGUUAGUCCUCUGAAAUUUUUUAUUCCUCUGAUCUCAAACAUCGUCUACGCAAGAGUCGAAGCUUCGUCUGCCACCGAUCUUCAGUUCACGCCGUUGAUGUUGUGAGGACUGGCAGGAACUCAAUGGGCGCGGAGGCGGCAACCUAGGGCGAGGGCGUCGGUGUGUUGAGAUGGCAGGGCCGCGACAGUGAGAGGACGCGAGGCGGUGAUGGUGUCGGCAACGCCGAUGUCCACCAGGAUCUAUAGCCGCAACUGAAGAACAGCUUGGGGAGGUCGUGCAGCUCCUGUGUGUAGUAAAUAAAUCGCCACCCAGAUAAAUCACCGGGACACUACCAAGUGUGUUGUUCAUUGCGCCACGAUAAAAAAUCUUGAGGCUGCCUCAGGUGCGACUCUAGCUAUUGAAAGUCAAAGAACAUGACUACUUCCGGAGUUUGAUAAGGCUUCACGGUGAGUUCUCAUUGUGGUCUAUGUGCAUAAUGGGAUGCUGGUACUUUUGUGCUACCUGUACUGAUGUUGUUAUUAAGCAGAUUUUGUCAAAGCAAUUGCUAUGUGUAUGCCAUUUUCAUGUUCUUGACGUGGCUGUUGUUUCAUGUUCUAGACAUGGAUAUGAUGAUUAACCGAUCAAACAAUUGAUUUCUAAUACUAGCAGUUGUGUUUCUUUAAAUUCUAAUACUGACAUUUUUGUUUCAUUGUUCAGCACUGAAAUUAUUCAUAUAUGGUCAUGGCUGCAGCAUAACCAUCAGGUGAAGUAGAUAAUCUGCAAGGCUAUUUACCAUCAUCCAGGUUUAUUCAACAUUCAGGUUUGUAGUAAUUUAUUCAACAUCCGGGUUUGUAGUUUCAGUUGCAUAUAGGAAUAAACAUCUGCCAUUUCUGAAUAUGUUGCAGAUGAUUUCCCAGCUUUAAGUAUAUACGAAACAUACAUUAUAUUCAGUUUCACUUGUUAUCUCCACAUGGUAAUUAAUUUGGAUAGAACCACAUAAAGUAAAUCUCAUCCAACGACGGUUUUUGUCAUGUGGUUAAAUAAUAAUAAUAAUAAUAAUAAUAAUAAUAAUAAUAAUAAUAAUAAUAAUAAUAAUAAUAAUAAUAAUAAUAAGUGGUUUCUACAGCUGGCCCAAUAAUGACCCCCACUUUAACCGACAUGAUGUCAAGCUCAAGGCUAUGAGUGACCAUCCAUAUAGUUCAUCGAGUCAUUUUCAGAUCACUAGCCCUAAUGGUGUCAAGAAAACAUGGCGGCCUUUUGGCACUUCUCUUGUAGCGAAAAUCUGACACAUGAGCAUAUCCGCGAUGCAAGGAGCUUCUGUGGUGGAUCGAAGGAGGCAUCAGGGAGAGGAAGAUAAGGAAUAGGUAUCGAUCUUUUGUUGACACAAUGGUCAUUGGUGGCGGGAACAUGAAGACCAUGGUGACUGGCUUAGUAUAGGGACUGUUCGUGAAUUUGACUUUGAGGUUGGAUAUUGAUCCCUUUUCAUAGGUUUCAUGAUUGUGAAAUGCCUAACUGACACUUUAAUUAAUUCAUUGCCUUCAGUUCAUGUAGCAUGCUGGUAACAUAAUUUGGUCCAUUACGUGAAUGAUGUGAACUUACAGAGUAGCCAUAGUACCAAAUCAUGUGUAUCAGGGAGUGGCGAAGCCAGCCUCAAGAAACUAUGGGGUCAUCGCUAUUUUUCUGGAGAAAAAAAUAUUCACAUUGUACAAUAAGUGUACAAUGUUUUUAUGCUAUUUUCAUACUAGGAUCAAUGACUCAUAAACUGAUGACCACGGCGGCCAUGACGGCGUCGGCCAGCGGAACCAUGCUAGAGUCAGGAGAAGAAAGGGAACAAACAAUAGCGGAGGACGAGCAGCAGGGAGUCAAGAUAGGAGGGGUCAUGGUCAGAGCAGCACCACGUAGGCAUAGACGAGCCGGGUGGAUAUGCUAAUUCAAAUACCAAAUGAGGAGGUGGUUGC